RNAcentral lists this small RNA (572 nucleotides) under Pan troglodytes (chimpanzee). RNAcentral's name for it is "processed transcript". The record is from RNAcentral. Lineage: Eukaryota; Metazoa; Chordata; Mammalia; Primates; Hominidae.
GUUUUUGAAACUGAAUCUUACUCUGUCGCCCAGGCUGGAGUGCUGUGGCACGAUCUCAGCUCACUGCAACCUCCGCCUCCCAGAGGUGGAGUUUCACCAUAUUGGCCAGGCUGGUCUCAAAACUCCUGACCUCAAGUGAUCCGUCUGCCUGGGCCUCCCAAAGCGCUGGGAUUACAGCCACCUUCUGGGUGAACCCUCAGUUCAAGAUCCGGCUGGAUGAGACGGAUGACCCGGACGACUACGGGGACCGCGAGUCAGGCUGCAGCUUCGUGCUCGCCCUUAUGCAGAAGCACCGUCGCCGCGAGCGCCGCUUCGGCCGCGACAUGGAGACUAUUGGCUUCGCGGUCUACGAGGUCCCUCCGGAGCUGGUGGGCCAGCCGGCCGUACACUUGAAGCGUGACUUCUUCCUGGCCAAUGCGUCUCGGGCACGCUCAGAGCAGUUCAUCAACCUGCGAGAGGUCAGCACCCGCUUCCGCCUGCCACCCGGGGAGUAUGUGGUGGUGCCCUCCACCUUCGAGCCCAACAAGGAGGGCGACUUCGUGCUGCGCUUCUUCUCAGAGAAGAGUGCUGGG